Molecule: ribosomal RNA, 507 nt
Filed under: uncultured bacterium
Lineage: Bacteria
Description: bacterial SSU rRNA
Rfam family: Bacterial small subunit ribosomal RNA
Source: RNAcentral
AUUGAACGCUGGCGGCGUGCUUAACACAUGCAAGUCGUGCGAGAAAGGUUCCUUCGGGGACUGAGUAGAGCGGCGCACGGGUGAGUAACGCGUGGGUGACCUACCCAGGAGACCGGGAUAACAGUGGGAAACUGCUGCUAAUACCGGGUACGCUUCAUAUUUCACGUAUGGGGGAAAGGCGGCCUCUGCUUGCAAGCUGCCACUCUUGGAUGGGCCCGCGUCUCAUUAGCUUGUUGGUAGGGUAACGGCCUACCAAGGCGGCGAUGAGUAGCUGGUCUGAGAGGAUGAUCAGCCACACUGGGACUGGAACACGGCCCAGACUCCUACGGGAGGCAGCAGUGGGGAAUAUUGCGCAAUGGGCGAAAGCCUGACGCAGCGACGCCGCGUGAGGGAAGAAGGCCUUCGGUCGUAAACCUCUGUCAGAGGGAAGAACCGAAUAGGAGUCGAACAGGACUCUCGUGCUGACGGUACCUCCGGACGGAAGGCGACCGGCUAACUCCGUCGCCG